CCGGCUGUCUCAGGUUUUGUUAAAUGGGCUGCUAACUAUCACUCCACCUCCACCAAAAGCCUAUGAGCACCCAACUCAAGAGGAGUUAAAAGCUUUCUAAAUGUCUAUUUAAGAGACUGGAUUAGGAAAGAGUUGAGGAGGAAGAUUAACUGUGGUCGUUAACACCCCUGUCAUUAACAAGCCACAUACAGAGAACACAAACUUUAUUAAUAGAGAGGAGUGUGGAAAGAGGAAAUGGUUCUCCCUUGGCUAGCACAAGCUCCAGUUCAUGAUCCUUCAAAAAUCAGGCCAAGGCACUGCUUCAACCAGUCACAGAAUUAUUCUGGGGGCAAAGUAUCCUAUUUGUUGAUUAUCUAAGCCUCCCGCUCCAGCGAGCAAGGGAGUAAAGAGACUUUUGUUCUUUUAGAUUAAAACAUCUACAUUAUAAAUGGAGAUAAAGGGUGCCUUAUAAAUUUCAUUUGACUGUACUGUCCUCCAAGCUCUGAAUGCCAUUAAAAAAUAUAAAUGAAUGUGUACUAUAGCAAUUCUCAGAACUGCUCAAAGCGUUAAGUCUGGUUCAUUGGUAUAUUUACCACUAACACACAAAUUCUUGAUAACUCAUUACCAGAUCACAAUUCCACAAAAUAAUAAUUUUACAUGAGAUUUUUCUUUUUCCUUUAUUCAAAUCUACCGAAUUUCUUCUCCCAAGUGUCCAUCUUCUCUAAAUUUAGUUAGGGCACACCUAAACCCAUCGCUGGGCAAGAGGUUAGAUAGUCAAUUGUUCCAAGAUUCAUGAGAAAGUAGAAUUUGUAUCACUAUGGGCAAAUGUCUUCCAGAUGGUGCUUCCAACAACUCUAUCCUUGGAAUGACAGGAGAAACAAACCUACACCAGAAAUUAUUGAACCUUGUACGUCUCUGCAAGCAUCUCUAUUGACAUUUAAGUGUGAGUUACUAUGCCACAAUAUCAUAAAAGUGUGCUCUACACUUCAGAUAUCUUGAUAGUUAAAUGCAAAGAAAGGCCAUCAGAUAAACAGCUAAAGGGAUGGCCAAUCUCAG
RNAcentral lists this long non-coding RNA (1035 nucleotides) under Monodon monoceros (narwhal). RNAcentral describes it as "lncRNA (ENSMMNG00015016053.1)". Lineage: Eukaryota; Metazoa; Chordata; Mammalia; Artiodactyla; Monodontidae. The record is from RNAcentral.